This is a long non-coding RNA of Oncorhynchus tshawytscha (Chinook salmon), 1635 nucleotides long. Lineage: Eukaryota; Metazoa; Chordata; Actinopteri; Salmoniformes; Salmonidae. The record is from Ensembl.
AUUUCUUGUUCUUACACAGAGUUCAGAGAGAACAUCAGAAGAGACCAGAGUCUGAUAUUCCACGUGUUCAGUUUGCUCAGAAUUAUCCAGUGGACCUGUCCUCAAUAUUCAGGGUGAGCUACGCAAUUAAACAUGUACAUUUAAAAAAAACGAUUUGACAGUUUUUAAAAGUGCAAUUAAAACAGCCUUUUAAUUUGUAAUUCCUUUGAACUGUUUCAGUCACUUGAGGAUGAUGUAACUUUUAUGAGGGAUGAGCUGGGAAAAAAACUGCAUUGUUGGUUAAGGGUUUGUAAGUAAGCAUUUCACUGUAAGGUCUGCACCUUUUGUAUUCGGCCCAUGUGAAAAAUAACAUUUGAUUUGAUUUGAUUAAUGUUUUAUGCAUUGUUUGGUCACUCAAAUGACUUGGCGUGAUCUGUCAACUAAAGCUCCAAACUUCCUUGAAGGAGUUUCAGUAUGUGUUUGAGAGAGUAGCUGAGCAAGGAAACCCAACCCUUUUAAAGAAGAUCUACAUAGAGCUCUGCAUUACAGAGGGUGAAAGUGGCGAGGUCAACAUCAAGUGAGACAGCAUCAAAGAAACCAGCGACACAGAUGCCGUCAGGCUCAGAUCGGACCCAGAGACAGCGCACACACUCCUCUUUCUGUAUGAGAACAGAAUAGUGACAUGGGUGGGAGAGAAGCAGCCAUAUCCUGACCAUCCAGAAAGGUUUGAGCCCUCACAAUGUGCUGCGUGGAGAGAGUCUGACUGGAUGCUGCUCCUGGGGGACAGAGUGAAGAGGACGGGCUCAUGUAGGAGUGACAUAUGAAAGGAUCAGAUGGAAAGGAGAGCAUGAUGACUCUCUCCAUGGAUACUAUGACAAAUCCUGGAUUCUAAAGUGCCCUGGUGGCAAUUAUACUGCCUGUCAUAAUAGGAAGGGUAGUGACAUGCAUGUCUUCUACUCUCGCUCCGACACAGUAGGAGUGUAUCUGGACAGAGUCAAUUGUAACACACUGAUCCACCUGCACACAUAAUACCCGGCAGUCACUGAGCCUCUCUACCCAGGGGUUUGGGUUGGCGUUCACGCCUCAGUGUCCCUGUGCCAAGUAGAACUCCGCGUCCUGUGUCCAGAAGGAACACCUUCAGGAAAGUCACACUCCUGUCCAAACACAACUGUGGGACAUGACGGGGCACUUUUUUGCUGUCAUCAUGGCAGACAGCGGGGGCGUUGUACUCGUCUAGUCCAUUCAGUGCAGAUUUGAAUAACCCCUUUCGCAAAGAGACACCUUUUACAACGUAGAUUUGUCUGGAGACAUGGGUUGGACACGUAGCCUCGGGAAGGACGGGUGCUGAAGGUGCUGCAGCACCCCCUGGUGGUGAGAUUGUAAAACUGUAAGAAUUUGUGUCGCAAUAAAAAACUAGUAAACCAUUUUUCUGUUGUAUUGUUGACAUAAAUGAUAAUGGGAUUGGGUUAGGGGCCCAUUCUGCAUGGAGAGCUCUCAGCUCUGUUUUGUAAUCGGUGUGCUCGUGAUAUUCUGGUGAAGCAGUGGGACAGCACGUAAGGGGGUACGUCACGAAAUCAUGAACUAAUGCUCACAUGUGUGGUUGCUUGCAAGACUCUGCCGAACUUGAGAAAGUGAAAUAAGGCAGAGCCAAGAGUG